GUGCUCACUUCUCACUUCGGCAGCACACACACCAAAAUCGUAACAAUACAGAGAAGAUUAGCAUGGCCCCUGAGCAAGGAUGACACGCAAAUUAGUGAAGCAUUCCAUAUUUUU
Molecule: small nuclear RNA, 114 nt
Organism: Prolemur simus (greater bamboo lemur)
Lineage: Eukaryota; Metazoa; Chordata; Mammalia; Primates; Lemuridae
Source: Ensembl